AGUGGCCAUAAUCGAAGCUAUGAUAAUGCGUAACAAUAUUGUAGUCAAAAAUUGGCCAAAAUGAAAUUCCUUCAUAUUGGUCACUGACCGCCUUCACAUAGGCUUUUCAGUAUUACCCAUUUAGGAAACAAAA
This is a small nucleolar RNA of Hylaeus volcanicus, 133 nucleotides long. Lineage: Eukaryota; Metazoa; Arthropoda; Insecta; Hymenoptera; Colletidae. The record is from RefSeq and is a predicted model, not a curated record.